UACGAAGGGGGCUAGCGUUGUUCGGAAUCACUGGGCGUAAAGCGCACGUAGGCGGACUGUUAAGUCAGGGGUGAAAUCCUGGGGCUCAACCCCAGAACUGCCUUUGAUACUGGCGAUCUCGAGUCCGGGAGAGGUGAGUGGAACUGCGAGUGUAGAGGUGAAAUUCGUAGAUAUUCGCAAGAACACCAGUGGCGAAGGCGGCUCACUGGCCCGGUACUGACGCUGAGGUGCGAAAGCGUGGGGAGCAAACAGG
This 253-nucleotide ribosomal RNA is filed under the name uncultured bacterium. RNAcentral's name for it is "partial 16S ribosomal RNA". It matches the Rfam family "Bacterial small subunit ribosomal RNA", at positions 524 to 776 of the family's 1533-position model. The record is from RNAcentral.